UUAGAACAGCACAUGCGGUUUGGCCGAUAACGGGUCGCGCAGGACCCGCAAAUCGGGACGCUCGGCAAUCGUGUAACCAGCGCCGAAAUCGCCAAAGGCGAUGGCCGUGGCAUCGGUCGCGAUAUCUGGCAUGUCCUCGGCAAUCAGAACGGGAUACCCCAUCAGGCGGGCCGGUUCGCCUGCGGCCAGACCGUCAGACCACAGGAAACGGCCAUCGGCAUCUUUCAUCUUGCGCACUGCGCCGGCCGUCUUGGAAUUCAUCACGAAACUGGCAUUGGCCCGGUAACGUGCGCCCAGCGAAUAGACCAGAUCUACGAUCGCAUCGGCGGGGUUCGUGCCGUCAAAAUCGCCCGCCGUACCGGUCACGACAUAGCCCAAACCGCCCCAGCUCCAGCUGGAAUUAUCAACGGAAGGAUGGGUCAGAAAGCCGGUGGGCUUGUCGAUGCCAUCGCCCGAGACAAACGCCAUGGAUUCCGCGCGGCUGAACUUGUCUGCGAUGCGGCCCGCCAACCAGCCUUCGAUAUCGAACGCCGUGUCAUCCAGCAGGCGUUGCGAGGCUUUGGGCAGGGCCGAAAGCUCGUGCAGCGGAAUGGCGAUCCGGUCGAUCGACGGGGUGGAGGUCUCGGUCGCGGAGGUGGUUUCAUCCGCCCAGCCUGCACCGAUUUCGCUAUGGUCGACCAACACGUCGAAGGAGGUCGCCUCGACAUUCACCACAUUGGCCACGGAUCGCAGCGACGAUGCGCCGUGCAACACGCCCUGGAUCAUUUCAGCGGUCUGCGGAUCGACCAGAUAGCC
Molecule: ribosomal RNA, 795 nt
Filed under: uncultured Rhodobacterales bacterium
Lineage: Bacteria; Pseudomonadati; Pseudomonadota; Alphaproteobacteria; Rhodobacterales
Description: partial 16S ribosomal RNA
Source: RNAcentral